This is a long non-coding RNA of Bos taurus (domestic cattle), 625 nucleotides long. Lineage: Eukaryota; Metazoa; Chordata; Mammalia; Artiodactyla; Bovidae. The record is from Ensembl.
GGGCUUCCCCACUGCUCCCAAGCUGUGGCGGCCAUGCUUCUGCCCCUGUCCUUCCCUCUGCCAGGGACUCUCCUCACCCGGUGCUGCCUGGCUGGUUCCUGCUCAGCCUCUGCCCAAACAUCCCCUUCUCAGAGGCCUUCCCUGACCACCUGUCCAAAGCAGAUGAGGAAUAUCAAGGCACAGAGCAGUAAGGAGAUCAUCCCAAAUUACCCUGCGCGGACCACACUUUACGGACCAGGCCCUGGCCUGGAUGGAGCAAUGAUCUGCGGAUCCGGGGGUCUCUGAAGACAACUGACCCCAGUGCACACAGGUGGAUUCAAAUGAAGGCUCGGAGUCACUCUGGCAGUCUGGAUGCUGCCACUGGCUUUCUCUGUUAAAAGAAGUUCACGGAGACUAGGUGCCCUGCCCAAGGAACACAGCUAUGUCCCAAGUGAGGCAGCCCCUGGGACCCAGAAUGUUGCACCCCAGGGAGCUGUCAGGGUGGGGUGGCCUUGGUCUUGGAGUGCUCACAGUAGAGCUACCAGCAGGUCCUGGUUUGCAUCCCCCAAACCCAGGCAACCUGGACAGGACCUUCACAGACCCCAGCCCAGGUGCCGCAGGCCCAAGAUUCAGAGUCAGGCUGCCC